AACGGUCUAUACCUGCGGUACCUGCGGAGGGAUCAUCGCCAAACAGCGGCCGCGGCGCUCCGGCGCCCGGCCGCGCACAUCCUCCGUCAACCUGUUGCAUCUGUAUUCUCUGGAGCGGGGCCGAGCCUUGGGGCCUUGGCGCCCCCGGCCUGGCCCGCUCUUAUUUCAACAGCACUACACACUGUACGAAACCAUUAUACCACACAACAACAAAAAACAUACAACUUUCAACAAUGGAUC
RNAcentral lists this unclassified non-coding RNA (240 nucleotides) under soil metagenome. RNAcentral describes it as "partial contains 5.8S ribosomal RNA, internal transcribed spacer 2, and large subunit ribosomal RNA". The record is from RNAcentral.